GAACGGAUGUAAAAAUCCUGUAAACUUGAAAGUGUGAUAGGAUUGCCGCAGGUAAGAAACAUAUUUCGACAAAUGAGUCAUAUCCAACCAAGAGACACACCAAGUAAAUGGUUCCACAGAUAAGCAUAAUAGCAGAAGUAAAGAAUGGAAUGCCUUCCCACCAUUGCCCCACCCUUGUUGGCAAUCCUGCCUCGGUAACGA
Molecule: unclassified non-coding RNA, 201 nt
Filed under: Hevea brasiliensis (rubber tree)
Lineage: Eukaryota; Viridiplantae; Streptophyta; Magnoliopsida; Malpighiales; Euphorbiaceae
Source: RNAcentral